This 153-nucleotide ribosomal RNA is filed under the name uncultured Symbiodinium. RNAcentral's name for it is "5.8S ribosomal RNA". It matches the Rfam family "5.8S ribosomal RNA". From Rfam's summary of the family: 5.8S ribosomal RNA (5.8S rRNA) is a component of the large subunit of the eukaryotic ribosome. It is transcribed by RNA polymerase I as part of the 45S precursor that also contains 18S and 28S rRNA. The record is from RNAcentral. Lineage: Eukaryota; Dinophyceae; Suessiales; Symbiodiniaceae.
CAAUUUUCAGCGACGGAUAUCUUGGCUCGAGCACCUAUGAAGGGCGCAGCGAAGUGCGAUAAUCGUGGUGAAUUGCAGAACUCCGUGAACCAAUGGCCUCUUGAACGUGCAUUGCGCUCUUGGGAUAUGCCUGAGAGCAUGUCUGCUUCAGUG